GAACUGAGUGGGGUUUCUAAGAAGACACUCUUAUGUUAGGAAGACUUCUAAGAAAGACUCUCUCCUGGCUUUGAUGAAGCAAGCUGCUGUAUUGGGGAGGCCUAGAGGACAAGGAAUUAAGGGGUGGCCUCUAGCCAUCAGCCUGCAAGGAAUCCAGGACCUCAGUCUAACAUGCCUUAAGGAACUGAAUCCUAACAACAAAUAUAUGAAUGAGCACACAAGUGGGUUCUUCCCCAGUCAAGCCUUCACAUGAAACUGCAGCCAGCCCCAGCUGACACCAAAAUUGCUGCCUUGUAAGAGAACUUGAAGCAGAGAACUCAGGCAAAAAAUCUGUGAUCUUCUGCACAUUGGACCAUGUUAACAUUCCAAACAGGAUUUUACAAAUUACUGGAGGAGGUCACACUCAACCCCAAAAAAGAAGAAAAUAUUUUUUAAA
Molecule: long non-coding RNA, 436 nt
Organism: Eptesicus fuscus (big brown bat)
Lineage: Eukaryota; Metazoa; Chordata; Mammalia; Chiroptera; Vespertilionidae
Exons: 3
Source: RefSeq, a predicted model, not a curated record